This 147-nucleotide ribosomal RNA is filed under the name uncultured archaeon. Its description in RNAcentral is "partial 16S ribosomal RNA". It matches the Rfam family "Archaeal small subunit ribosomal RNA", at positions 324 to 474 of the family's 1478-position model. The record is from RNAcentral.
UACGGGGUGCAGCAGGCGCGAAAACUUUGCAAUGCGGGAAACCGUGAUAAGGAAACACCGAGUGCCAUCAGCAGAGGAUGGCUGUUCUCCGGUGUAAGGAACAUCAGGAUAAGGGGCGGGCCAGGCCGGGUCAGCCGCCGCGGUAAA